UGGGGAAUCUUGCGCAAUGCGCGAAAGCGUGACGCAGCAACGCCGCGUGGGGGAAGAAGGCCUUCGGGUUGUAAACCCCUUUCAGGAGGGACGAAGCCUCGGCCGUUAAUAGCGGACCGGGGUGACGGUACCUCCAGAAGAAGCCCCGGCUAACUACGUGCCAGCAGCCGCGGUAAUACGUAGGGGGCAAGCGUUGUCCGGAAUCAUUGGGCGUAAAGCGCGUGUAGGCGGUCCGGUAAGUCGGCUGUGAAAGUCCAGGGCUCAACCCUGGGAUGCCGGUCGAUACUGCCGGACUAGAGUUCGGAAGAGGCGAGUGGAAUUCCCGGUGUAGCGGUGAAAUGCGCAGAUAUCGGGAGGAACACCAAUGGCGAAGGCAGCUCGCUGGGACGUUACUGACGCUGAGACGCGAAAGCGUGGGGAGCAAACAGG
This 429-nucleotide ribosomal RNA is filed under the name Bacillota bacterium. Its description in RNAcentral is "Firmicutes bacterium partial 16S ribosomal RNA". It matches the Rfam family "Bacterial small subunit ribosomal RNA", at positions 355 to 776 of the family's 1533-position model. Lineage: Bacteria; Bacillati; Bacillota. The record is from RNAcentral.